AGAGUUUGAUCCUGGCUCAGAACGAACGCUGGCGGCAUGCCUAACACAUGCAAGUCGAACGAACUCUUCGGAGUUAGUGGCGCACGGGUGCGUAACGCGUGGGAAUCUGCCCCUUGGUUCGGAAUAACAGUUAGAAAUGACUGCUAAUACCGGAUGAUGACUUCGGUCCAAAGAUUUAUCGCCAAGGGAUGAGCCCGCGUAGGAUUAGCUAGUUGGUGGGGUAAAGGCCUACCAAGGCGACGAUCCUUAGCUGGUCUGAGAGGAUGAUCAGCCACACUGGGACUGAGACACGGCCCAGACUCCUACGGGAGGCAGCAGUGGGGAAUAUUGGACAAUGGGCGAAAGCCUGAUCCAGCAAUGCCGCGUGAGUGAUGAAGGCCUUAGGGUUGUAAAGCUCUUUUACCCGGGAUGAUAAUGACAGUACCGGGAGAAUAAGCUCCGGCUAACUCCGUGCCAGCAGCCGCGGU
RNAcentral lists this ribosomal RNA (467 nucleotides) under uncultured bacterium. Its description in RNAcentral is "bacterial SSU rRNA". It matches the Rfam family "Bacterial small subunit ribosomal RNA", at positions 8 to 521 of the family's 1533-position model. The record is from RNAcentral.